AUUGAACGCUGGCGGCAGGCCUAACACAUGCAAGUCGAACGGUAACAGGAAGCAGCUUGCUGCUUUGCUGACGAGUGGCGGACGGGUGAGUAAUGUCUGGGAAACUGCCCGAUGGAGGGGGAUAACUACUGGAAACGGUAGCUAAUACCGCAUAACGUCGCAAGUCCAAAGAGGGGGACCUUAGGGCCUCUUGCCAUCGGAUGUGCCCAGAUGGGAUUAGCUAGUAGGUGGGGUAACGGCUCACCUAGGCGACGAUCCCUAGCUGGUCUGAGAGGAUGACCAGCCACACUGGAACUGAGACACGGUCCAGACUCCUACGGGAGGCAGCAGUGGGGAAUAUUGCACAAUGGGCGCAAGCCUGAUGCAGCCAUGCCGCGUGUAUGAAGAAGGCCUUCGGGUUGUAAAGUACUUUCAGCGGGGAGGAAGGGAGUAAAGUUAAUACCUUUGCUCAUUGACGUUACCCGCAGAAGAAGCACCGGCUAACUCCGUG
RNAcentral lists this ribosomal RNA (490 nucleotides) under uncultured bacterium. Its description in RNAcentral is "partial 16S ribosomal RNA". It matches the Rfam family "Bacterial small subunit ribosomal RNA", at positions 30 to 507 of the family's 1533-position model. The record is from RNAcentral.